AGUGAACGCUGGCGGUAGGCCUAACACAUGCAAGUCGAACGGCAGCACAGUAAGAGCUUGCUCUUACGGGUGGCGAGUGGCGGACGGGUGAGAAAGACACCGGAAUCUACUUUGUCGUUGGGGAUGACGUAGGGAAACUAACGCUAAUACCGCAUACGACCUACGGGUGAAAGCAGGUGAUCUUCGGACCUUGCGCGAUUGAAUGAGCCGAUGUCGGAUUAGCUAGUUGGCGGGGUAAAGGCCCACCAAGGCGACGAUCCGUAGCUGGUCUGAGAGGAUGAUCAGCCACACUGGAACUGAGACACGGUCCAGACUCCUACGGGAGGCAGCAGUGGGGAAUAUUGGACAAUGGGCGCAAGCCUGAUCCAGCCAUACCGCGUGGGUGAAGAAGGCCUUCGGGUUGUAAAGCCCUUUUGUUGGGAAAGAAAAGCAGCAGGUUAAUACCCCGCUGUUCUGACGGUACCCAAAGAAUAAGCACCGGCUAACUUCGUG
This 492-nucleotide ribosomal RNA is filed under the name uncultured bacterium. RNAcentral's name for it is "partial 16S ribosomal RNA". It matches the Rfam family "Bacterial small subunit ribosomal RNA", at positions 29 to 507 of the family's 1533-position model. The record is from RNAcentral.